Molecule: non-coding RNA, 46 nt
Filed under: Trichobilharzia regenti
Lineage: Eukaryota; Metazoa; Platyhelminthes; Trematoda; Strigeidida; Schistosomatidae
Source: RNAcentral
AUCCAGCUGCCGAGUACCAAAAUAGGACGAAAUGUGCAUCCUGGAU